GUGAGGAAUAUUGGACAAUGGGCGCAAGCCUGAUCCAGCCAUGCCGCGUGCAGGAAGACGCAUCUAUGGUGUGUAAACUGCUUUUGUACGGGAAGAAACACUCCCUCGUGAGGGAGCUUGACGGUACCGUAAGAAUAAGGAUCGGCUAACUCCGUGCCAGCAGCCGCGGUAAUACGGAGGAUCCAAGCGUUAUCCGGAAUCAUUGGGUUUAAAGGGUCCGUAGGCGGUUUAAUAAGUCAGUGGUGAAAGCCCAUCGCUCAACGAUGGAACGGCCAUUGAUACUGUUGAACUUGAAUUACAAGGAAGUAACUAGAAUAUGUAGUGUAGCGGUGAAAUGCUUAGAUAUUACAUGGAAUACCAAUUGCGAAGGCAGGUUACUACUUGUGGAUUGACGCUGAUGGACGAAAGCGUGGGGAGCGAACAGGAUUAGAUACCCCUGUAGUCC
This 445-nucleotide ribosomal RNA is filed under the name uncultured bacterium. RNAcentral's name for it is "partial 16S ribosomal RNA". It matches the Rfam family "Bacterial small subunit ribosomal RNA", at positions 354 to 796 of the family's 1533-position model. The record is from RNAcentral.